CGAGCGGAUGAGAGGAAGCUUGCUCCUCGAUUCAGCGGCGGACGGGUGAGUAAUGCCUAGGAAUCUGCCUAGUAGUGGGGGACAACGUUUCGAAAGGAACGCUAAUACCGCAUACGUCCUACGGGAGAAAGUGGGGGAUCUUCGGACCUCACGCUAUUAGAUGAGCCUAGGUCGGAUUAGCUAGUUGGUAGGGUAAAGGCCUACCAAGGCGACGAUCCGUAACUGGUCUGAGAGGAUGAUCAGUCACACUGGAACUGAGACACGGUCCAGACUCCUACGGGAGGCAGCAGUGGGGAAUAUUGGACAAUGGGCGAAAGCCUGAUCCAGCCAUGCCGCGUGUGUGAAGAAGGCCCUCGGGUCGUAAAGCACUUUAAGUUGGGAGGAAGGGCUCAUAGCGAAUACCUGUGAGUUUUGACGUUACCAACAGAAUAAGCACCGGCUAACUUCGUGCCAGCAGCCGCGGUAAUACGAAGGGUGCAAGCGUUAAUCGGAAUUACUGGGCGUAAAGCGCGCGUAGGUGGCUUGAUAAGUUGGAUGUGAAAUCCCCGGGCUCAACCUGGGAACUGCAUCCAAAACUGUCUGGCUAGAGUGCGGUAGAGGGUAGUGGAAUUUCCAGUGUAGCGGUGAAAUGCGUAGAUAUUGGAAGGAACACCAGUGGCGAAGGCGACUACCUGGACUGACACUGACACUGAGGUGCG
Molecule: ribosomal RNA, 698 nt
Filed under: Pseudomonas sp. G16(2010)
Lineage: Bacteria; Pseudomonadati; Pseudomonadota; Gammaproteobacteria; Pseudomonadales; Pseudomonadaceae
Description: bacterial SSU rRNA
Rfam family: Bacterial small subunit ribosomal RNA
Source: RNAcentral